This 77-nucleotide transfer RNA is filed under the name Aquihabitans sp. G128. RNAcentral describes it as "tRNA-Cys". It matches the Rfam family "tRNA". From Rfam's summary of the family: Transfer RNA (tRNA) molecules are approximately 80 nucleotides in length. The record is from RNAcentral. Lineage: Bacteria; Bacillati; Actinomycetota; Acidimicrobiia; Acidimicrobiales; Iamiaceae.
GGCGGCGUGGCCGAGUGGCUUAGGCAAGGGACUGCAAAUCCCUGUACGGGGGGUUCGAUUCCCCCCCGCCGCCUCCA